This 253-nucleotide ribosomal RNA is filed under the name uncultured microorganism. RNAcentral's name for it is "partial 16S ribosomal RNA". It matches the Rfam family "Bacterial small subunit ribosomal RNA", at positions 524 to 776 of the family's 1533-position model. The record is from RNAcentral.
UACGGAGGGUGCAAGCGUUAAUCGGAAUUACUGGGCGUAAAGCGUACGUAGGCGGCUUGUUAAGCAAGAUGUGAAAUCCCCGGGCUCAACCUGGGAAUGGCAUUUUGAACUGGCAGGCUCGAGUUCUGAAGAGGGUGGUAGAAUUUCCAGUGUAGCGGUGAAAUGCGUAGAUAUCGGGAGGAACACCAUUGGCGAAGGCGGCUAUCUGGCUGGUAACUGACGCUGAGGUGCGAGAGCGUAGGGAGCAAACAGG